UGAGGAAUAUUGGUCAAUGGGCGCGAGCCUGAACCAGCCAAGUCGCGUGAGGGAAGACGGCCCUACGGGUUGUAAACCUCUUUUGCCGGGGAGCAACGCUGCGGACGCGUCCGCAGGUGAGAGUACCCGGAGAAAAAGCAUCGGCUAACUCCGUGCCAGCAGCCGCGGUAAUACGGAGGAUGCGAGCGUUAUCCGGAUUUAUUGGGUUUAAAGGGUGCGUAGGCCGGCUGUCAAGUCAGCGGUAAAAAUUCGGGGCUCAACCCCGUAAAGCCGUUGAAACUGGCGGUCUUGAGUAGCGGCGAGGCAUGCGGAAUGCGAGGUGUAGCGGUGAAAUGCAUAGAUAUCACGCAGAACUCCGAUUGCGAAGGCAGCAUGCCAGCCGCCGACUGACGCUGAGGCACGAAAGUGCGGGUAUCGAACAGG
RNAcentral lists this ribosomal RNA (423 nucleotides) under uncultured bacterium. RNAcentral's name for it is "bacterial SSU rRNA". It matches the Rfam family "Bacterial small subunit ribosomal RNA", at positions 355 to 776 of the family's 1533-position model. The record is from RNAcentral.